This 54-nucleotide microRNA precursor is filed under the name Heligmosomoides polygyrus. RNAcentral's name for it is "microRNA hpo-mir-10068 precursor". The record is from miRBase by way of RNAcentral. Lineage: Eukaryota; Metazoa; Nematoda; Chromadorea; Rhabditida; Heligmosomidae.
AAUCCGGGGAGAGGGUCAAGCAAGAAUUCCGGCUUGGCCGUUUCUUCGGUUUGC